UGCCCCCACGCUAACUGGAGGGUAGUCCAUCCAUCCAAUAAUGAUUUAUUGUUGAGCCUCCUGCUCUGAGCCAAGGCAGUGCCCGGGUACUAGGAGAGGCCCCUGGCACUCACGGAGCUUCUCGGCUGUGCGCUUUCCUUCCUUCGGAGGUGAGAGUUGCCCAGGCAGACCAAGGCUGGGAGAGUGGUAAUGCUUGCUGUCUUUUCCCCAGGUCUGGUCUCUGAUCCAGCUGGCGCGCAGAUACCUGCAGAAGGGCUACACCACGCUGCUGUUCCAGGAGGGGGAUUUCUACUGCUCCUACUUCCUGUGGUUCGAGAAUGACAUGGGGUACAAACUCCAGAUGAUCGAGGUGCCCGUCCUCUCCGACGACUCAGUGCCUAUCGGCAUGCUGGGAGGAGACUACUACAGGUGACGCUGCAUUGGGAGCCACU
Molecule: small RNA, 431 nt
Filed under: Pan troglodytes (chimpanzee)
Lineage: Eukaryota; Metazoa; Chordata; Mammalia; Primates; Hominidae
Description: processed transcript
Source: RNAcentral